CAGGAAAGUGGCAGCUUGGCAGAAGAAGAAUUUCCCUCUGGGAUUAAUACAGUAUCUAAAAUAAAAAAAUAAAAUAAAAAAGACCAACUCCUUGUUGUUGACACUUUUCAGUUCCUCUCUAACUACCACACAGCUUUACAAGUGCUACUAGUGAAGUAUUGGAAGCAUCAGACUUUUAAUCUGAGGGUCCAGGGUUCAAGUCCCUGUUUGGGCGGAACACUUUGUACUCCCUCUUGCUUGUACUCCCCUUCCCUCUCUGUUAAUGUGCUUGGACAGAGCUCUGUGAACAGCCAGCCUCUUUGUGUCUUGCCCUCCUUGUGCAAGGUGUCAAUGGUCGUCUUUUGGGCAACUGUCAAGUCAGCAGUCUUCCUGUGGUUGUGCAGCCUACAGAACUAGACUGAGACCAGAUGUAACAAAAUAAUGUAUUUCGCUAUUUUUAACAUCACAAUUUGUUACUGAGUACACUUAUUAUUUUGAAUAAUGACCGGCCUUUUCUUAACCAAUAAAGAUACCAGUUACAAACUGACCAACAUGGCUGACGUUUGACUGACUGACUGACAGUCCGUCCUAUGACAGCCAGGUGCACGGUCACUGAAGGGGACAUCUGAUUGGACCCUUGGACCUGAUAUAAAAACCGUGUGGCGCGAACGACGGUCAGACCCUCCUUCAUCAGCUUACGAGAGGUAAGGCCUGACAAUUGAUAACGGAGGAGAUGAGGCUGGAGAGGGAGGGAGAGAGGGGGGAGAGAGAGAGAGAGAGAGGGAGAGAGAGAGAGAGCAAGAGGGAGAGAGAGAGAGGGAGGGAGAGAGAGAGGGAGAGAGAGAGAGAGAGGGAGGGAGAGACAGGAGAGAGAGAGAGGGAGGGAGAGAGAGGGAGGGAGGGAGAGAGAGAGGGAGAGGAGAGAGCAAGAGAGAGGAGAGGGAGAGGGAGGGAGGGAGAGGAGAGAGCAAGAGGGAGAGAGAGAGAGGGAGGGAGAGAGAGAGGGAGAGGAGAGAGCAAGAGAGAGAGAGGGAGAGGGAGGGAGGGAGAGGAGAGAGCAAGAGGGAGAAAGAGAGAGGAGAGAGAGGGAGAGAGAGGAGAGGAGAGGGAGAGAGGAGAGAGAGGAGAGAGAGAAGGGGGGGGGGGGAGAGGGAGGGAGAGAGAGAGAGGAGGAGGAGAGAGCAAGAGAGAGAGAGGGGGGGAGAGAGAGAGAGAAAGAGGGAGAGAUAGAAAGGGAGGGAGAGAGGGAGAGGAGAGAGCAAGAGGGAAAGAGAGAGAGGGAGGAAGAGACAGGAGAGAGAGAGGGAGAGAGAGAGAGGGAGGGAGGGAGAGGAGAGAGCAAGAGGGAGAAAGAGAGAGGAGAGAGAGGGAGAGAGAGAGAGGAGAGGGAGAGAGGAGAGAGAGGAGAGAGCAAGAGAGAGAGAGGGGGGGAGAGAGAGAGAGAAAGAGGGAGAGAUAGAAAGGGAGGGAGAGAGGGAGAGGAGAGAGAGAAAGGGAGGGAGAGAGGGGGGAAAGAGGGAGAGAGGAGAGAGAGGGGGGGGAGAGGGAGAGAGGAGAGAGCAAGAGGGAGAGAGAGAGAGGGAGGGAGAGAGAGCGAGAGGGAGAGAGAGGGGGAGAGAGAGAGGGAGAGAGAGAAAGGGAGGGAGAGAGAGAGAGGGAGGAAGAGACAGGAGAGAGAGAGAGGGAGAGGAGAGAGAGAGCGAGGGGGGAGAGAGAGAAAGGGAGGGAGGGAGGGAGAGAGGGAGAGGAGAGAGAGAGAGGGAGAGCGAGAGGGAGAGAGAGGGGGGAGAGAGAGAAAGGGAGGGAGGGAGGGAGGGAGGGAGAGAGAGAGAGGGAGAGGAGAGAGCGAGAGGGAGAGGAGAGAGCGAGAGGGAGAGGAGAGAGAGGGAGGAGAGAGAGAGAGAGGGAGGGAGAGAGGGGGGAGAGAGGGAGGGAGAGACAGGAGAGGGAGAGAGGAGAGAGAGAGAGGGAGAGAGAGAGAGGGGGAGAGAGACAAGUCAUGUUACAAGUUGGGAGGCUGCCAGCAGGACAGUCCACAUACACUGCUGCUCUGUGAGAGCCAGAGGAGGAGGAGAUGGAUGUUACUCUGUCAUUGUGACAGACAGAGUAACCACGAUCAGAGCAGAACAGACUCCAGGACUGAUUGUUUCUUCCAAACAUGCAGUAAUCUCUGCCUCCUUUCCUUCUGACUCUUCUGUAACUCACUGAUAUAUUAACCACUCCUCUCCACUCGACCUCCCAGUAACAGCGACCAGUCAGAACAUUUCUACACAGCAGCUGAGGACACCAGUCAAAUCUGUCUGGAUGAUCAGGAUAUGGCUGCUUCUCUCUCACAUAUGUCACCUUCCUGUUGUUGUCAGACAGUUUGAGGUUUGUGUUCACUGAGUUUGUGUCGACUUCAAGUUGACAGAAAUCUGAUGGAGAGAAAAAGACACAGCUGCAGUUUAUCAUCUGACACAUCUGAUGGCUUCAUUCUGUCUUUACUGACUGAUGUGUUGUUCAUUCAUACAAAGUUUAUCAUCAGACUUUUUGUCACUAAUGUUUGAAUGAACAAACACACAACUAUCAGCUUUGUGUUCAAAC
This is a long non-coding RNA of Parambassis ranga (Indian glassy fish), 2562 nucleotides long. Lineage: Eukaryota; Metazoa; Chordata; Actinopteri; Ambassidae. The record is from Ensembl.